RNAcentral lists this ribosomal RNA (253 nucleotides) under uncultured bacterium. Its description in RNAcentral is "partial 16S ribosomal RNA". It matches the Rfam family "Bacterial small subunit ribosomal RNA", at positions 524 to 776 of the family's 1533-position model. The record is from RNAcentral.
UACGUAGGGUGCGAGCAUUGUCCGGAAUUAUUGGGCGUAAAGAGCUCGUAGGCGGCUUGUCGCGUCGGAUGUGAAAGCCCGGGGCUCAACUCCGGGUCUGCAUUCGAUACGGGCAGGCUAGAGUUCGGUAGGGGAGAUCGGAAUUCCUGGUGUAGCGGUGAAAUGCGCAGAUAUCAGGAGGAACACCGGUGGCGAAGGCGGAUCUCUGGGCCGAUACUGACGCUGAGGAGCGAAAGCGUGGGGAGCGAACAGG